AGGCUAUGACUGCUGGAUAGUAUGGGCCACUCGCUACGUCAGGGAGCGUGCCGUCCCGCUUGGAAACGGCUCCUAAACAAUCCCCUUGGAAGCAGUUUUAGAUGCUGACCCUGAGCCAAAUGCUGCCAUUUAACAAGCUGUUGUUUGCGAGCAGCCCUUUCAGAAGUGCUUGCCAAGGUCAGGGAAGAGCUUGCAAAUGAAUGCUGCGUUUCCUUUAACAUACGGAAAUGAUCUGAGAUCUGCUGCUCAAAGCAAACUUGUUCUGCACUGGAGAUCCUUACGCAAAACUGUCUGCCCAACUGAUGUGCAGCAGGACCAAAACUGGCUUCCACAUACCACCUUUCAGGGUCCAAACACAGGUAUUUUAGUCUACAGCAGGGGUCAUGGUGGGGUUUGAGUGGGAAGCCCAGGCAAUAUCUGUCAGAUUGUAUGGUUAUUGCUCACACCAAUUCCUUGCUCUGUUCCUUUAUCACUUAAAUUCUUCUUCUCUUGCUCUUCUUCUU
Molecule: long non-coding RNA, 503 nt
Filed under: Struthio camelus australis
Lineage: Eukaryota; Metazoa; Chordata; Aves; Struthioniformes; Struthionidae
Description: lncRNA (ENSSCUG00000011785.1)
Source: RNAcentral